Molecule: ribosomal RNA, 463 nt
Filed under: Escherichia coli
Lineage: Bacteria; Pseudomonadati; Pseudomonadota; Gammaproteobacteria; Enterobacterales; Enterobacteriaceae
Description: partial 23S ribosomal RNA
Rfam family: Bacterial large subunit ribosomal RNA
Source: RNAcentral
AUGGAGCCGACCUUGAAAUACCACCCUUUAAUGUUUGAUGUUCUAACGUUGACCCGUGAUCCGGGUUGCGGACAGUGUCUGGUGGGUAGUUUGACUGGGGCGGUCUCCUCCUAAAGAGUAACGGAGGAGCACGAAGGUUGGCUAAUCCUGGUCGGACAUCAGGAGGUUAGUGCAAUGGCAUAAGCCAGCUUGACUGCGAGCGUGACGGCGCGAGCAGGUGCGAAAGCAGGUCAUAGUGAUCCGGUGGUUCUGAAUGGAAGGGCCAUCGCUCAACGGAUAAAAGGUACUCCGGGGAUAACAGGCUGAUACCGCCCAAGAGUUCAUAUCGACGGCGGUGUUUGGCACCUCGAUGUCGGCUCAUCACAUCCUGGGGCUGAAGUAGGUCCCAAGGGUAUGGCUGUUCGCCAUUUAAAGUGGUACGCGAGCUGGGUUUAGAACGUCGUGAGACAGUUCGGUCCCUAUC